GAUCAUUAGGAAGGUUGAGAACCACUGGUCUAGACUGUCACAGUCCCUGACUAUUGAGAAGAGACUAAUAACUCACAAUCCUCAGAAUCCCCAGGGAAAGUGGUUUGCAAAGAAGGGAGAGGGAAUAUUUGCAGCUUGGGAAAGGGUCGGGCAGGGAUAUAGACUAGGAUUCAUGAAACCAUGAAGGUUGAAGUGUUGCUCCCGUGGAGUCUUUUGAUGGGGAAAAAGAAAGAAUUAAUCAGAAAUUCUAAUCUGUACACUUAUGAUGCCGCCAUUCACAGCCUCUUCACCACCCUCUAGAAUACUUUGCCCAAGGUCUUUCUUGUCUAAGAUCUCUUCUGAUGUGGACUGAAUUAUGCUCUACAGAAAGAUGCCGAAGCCCUCUGUCACAGUUCCUGUGAAUGUGGCCUUACUGGGAAAUGGUCUUUAUGCACAUAACCACAUUAAAAUGAGGUUAUUAGGGUGGGCCUUUGACCAAUAUGGCAGGUGUCCUUGGAAGAAGAGGUCAAAAGGAACAAGGUAUCUGGAAAGGUCUGUGUAUCAGUACACAGAAGACAGCAUUGAAAACAGGCAGAGACAGGUUACAUAGUCAGUCAAUCGAACCAGCAGUAGUGAUCAGAAGCUGCAAAAGCCAAAAAGAACCCACUUCUCUUUAAAGUUUUGGAGGGAGCAUGGUCCUGCUGAUAGCUUGACCCCAUCAGAUUUAUUUUGUCUGAGACAAGGACUCUAUAUAGCUCUAGCUAACCUGGAAUUCAAUGUGUAGACUGGGCUAGCCUCUGACUCAGAGGAACCCUAUGUGCCUCUGCCUUUCAAAUGUUGGGAUUAGAGGAAAAUGCCUCCACACCUCCUACUUCUAACCUCCAGAAAGGCUAAUCAGCUUUCUGUCACUCAGCAUUCAGAAACUACCAGCCUUCCUGUUGUAACUGCCUCAGCUGUAGGGGAAGCCGUGAAUGAACCUGUCUUUAGAUGCUAAGAACUGAGAACUGCAGUCAGAGGAGGUUGCCUGACAUUCCCUUUGGGCAGGGUUGUGGCUGCACAAACCUGUAAGAACUAGUUAAAUGGAACAAUGUCAAAAUCGCCACGCAGUUCCCCCCUGAAUGCCACUGGUGUGGAUCUGUGUCAGACGAUGAGUGCAUGAGUGAACGAUUCUAGGCACGCAUGCUCUCUGGAUCCCAGUGCGAGGAGGAGUCAUCGAUUCUACCCCUCGGAAUGAGAGCAGAGUCCUUCCUACAGGAGACGUUGCAUUUGAGGCUGAAGAAAAUCAUCCGUAACUGUGGGCGAAGACGGAGCGAGCACAGGGUACCCACAAACUGUUGGUGACUCAUGGUGAAUCCAUCUCACUUCUGGCAAAGACCAGUUGUGGUAUGUUCGCAUCAGUUUACUCAGUUUAACCGCUACAUCUACUUUGCCAAAUACAUCUGAGGCAGCUAAAGACACACACAGCUGAAGACACAGAUAUUUCUCUUUU
This is a long non-coding RNA of Rattus rattus (black rat), 1468 nucleotides long. RefSeq lists it as uncharacterized. The record is from RefSeq and is a predicted model, not a curated record. The transcript has 3 exons. NCBI's taxonomy places the organism in Eukaryota, Metazoa, Chordata, Mammalia, Rodentia, Muridae.